Gorilla gorilla gorilla (western lowland gorilla) is the source of this 1019-nucleotide long non-coding RNA. RefSeq lists it as uncharacterized. Lineage: Eukaryota; Metazoa; Chordata; Mammalia; Primates; Hominidae. The record is from RefSeq and is a predicted model, not a curated record. The transcript is spliced from 3 exons.
CUCAGAAUCACCGGGCGAUCCCCUGUGUCAAACUCAUCAAAGGCAAGCACUUGUCCUUGUUUUUCUGAUUCUCUUUUCCUGCUGAGUUACUGCCUGUGUGAAAGCAGCUGUGAGGCCCCCUGUUUGAUAUUUAUCCACCCUGCAGAUGAAGUCAGAGCUCAACAACACAGGGAUUAGCCAGGGUGCCUGGCUGCUUGCUCUCCUUCAAAAGGAGAAACUAGGGGCCAACUCUCACACAGGAGGCCAGUCAGAGCAAAUCCCUGCUCCUGCUUGAUUUGUUGCCUGGAUACAUUGUUGCCCCUUGGCAGGGGUACAGCCACCAGAACAUUUGCCCCAUUGUGAUGUCUCCUAUGUCUCCACAGUCAUCAAACACCAAGAAUAUUGCUGGCCACUCUUGGGAGGGCUUAUCAGCCACAAGGUGUAUGUGCCCACCACUAGCUCUUGUCAGGAGGUGUGAGUAGUGCAGCCUUCAAGUUUAAGAGCUUGGGAAAGUAAAGAGAACAUGCAGAGUAUUAAUAACAUUAUGGAGUUGUCUAGGACUUGGCACCAUCUGGAGAGCCCUCCAGGUGAGGUGCAGGCAUUGAUGAGGUGAGAUGUGGGAGAAGUUACUGCAAAUCCACCUCUGGCCAUCUGGAUCCCCACAGGGAAACCCCAUACAGCAAUCAGCACCAAGAGCCAUUCACAGGAGCAGCAGGGAGGAUGAACCUCUAAAAAUAUUUAAGCGGUCCUUCUUUAGAAAGCCUCUCUGAUGCUGGGGCCCUCUUAGAAAGCUAGUUCCCUGCUGUUCAUGGACUUUCAGUAAUUUACUAACAUAAUGGAGAUUUUCAUCAGGGAGCAAAGACUUGGAAAAGAUAUCUGAAUUGGAAAAAAGACACAUAUUUCCAGUCAAGAAGAUUUGAUUUCUAGCUCCUUUAAUCAAUACAAGUAAAAUCCAGUGGGAGAGGCUGCUUGUGCUAAUUUGAUUGUUAUCUUUGGCCAGUUCACAAUAAAACCCAAUGGAAUUGUUUGUGGGGGCUCCA